This 71-nucleotide transfer RNA is filed under the name Streptomyces phage JXY1. It matches the Rfam family "tRNA". From Rfam's summary of the family: Transfer RNA (tRNA) molecules are approximately 80 nucleotides in length. Their secondary structure includes four short double-helical elements and three loops (D, anti-codon, and T loops). Lineage: Duplodnaviria; Heunggongvirae; Uroviricota; Caudoviricetes. The record is from Rfam by way of RNAcentral.
UGCCCCUUGAUGUAACGGCAACAUGCGAGGCUCUGAACCUCGUCUUCUUGGUUCGAAUCCAGGGGGGGCAG